CAAAAUGGGAGGUAAAUUUCUCCUAAGGCUAAAUAUUGGCGAGAGACCGAUAGCGAACAAGUACCGUGAGGGAAAGAUGAAAAGAACUUUGAAAAGAGAGUAAAAUAGUACGUGAAAUUGUUGAAAGGGAAACGAUUGAAGUCAGUCGUACCGACGGAAAAUCAGCUCUUUAGUGCGGACUUGUGGGCUUACGUGAGUUUUAACACCUCGCUGUUUGCAACGUUCGUGUUUUUUGGGUGUACUUUUUCGUAUGGUAGGCCAAUGUCAGUUUCGAUCGCUAUAAAAUGACCGGCGGAAUGUAGCUUCGAUCUUGUAUUGAAGUGUUAUAGCCUCUGGUAGAUGUGGUGAUCGGGACUGAGGAUUGCAACGAAUACCUUUUGGGCUAUCCGUCUGAUCUCUGAAGGUUGCUUAGGUGCCGAAAGCGUGCUUACGGUUAUUUAAGUUGACAGUCAAAAGGUUAGAACGUGACUAUA
Molecule: ribosomal RNA, 473 nt
Filed under: uncultured Glomeraceae
Lineage: Eukaryota; Fungi; Glomeromycota; Glomeromycetes; Glomerales; Glomeraceae
Description: eukaryotic LSU rRNA
Rfam family: Eukaryotic large subunit ribosomal RNA
Source: RNAcentral